RNAcentral lists this transfer RNA (73 nucleotides) under Alosa alosa (allis shad). RNAcentral's name for it is "tRNA-OTHER". Lineage: Eukaryota; Metazoa; Chordata; Actinopteri; Clupeiformes; Clupeidae. The record is from RNAcentral.
GCAGUCGUGGCCUAGUGGUUAGCGCUUCGGACUUGUAACCGGAGGGUUGCCGGUUCGAACCCCACCAGUAGGA